Molecule: long non-coding RNA, 615 nt
Organism: Acyrthosiphon pisum (pea aphid)
Lineage: Eukaryota; Metazoa; Arthropoda; Insecta; Hemiptera; Aphididae
Exons: 3
Source: RefSeq, a predicted model, not a curated record
UUAAAUUAAAGAUUGGUAAUUUUAGUAUUACAUUUUAUUUAUAUAUGUAUCCCUAAUUUUAUUUAUUUAAUUUUAUUAAUUUAGGAUUUUGAACCUUAUUGUUCCAUACCAGGAUGCAUAUCUAAUAUAACUGAUACUGAUGAAGGACCCUAUCGUUUCACACCAACAAUAGAAUGUGUAGAUGAGUGGAGUUCAGCAUUAGGUUUAAAGUUGAGUGUAAACUGUUAUAUCUGUGAAAGACACUUCAGACCGCAAGACUUAAUUUGUGAAGAAUUUUUGGUAGAUGGUUUAAACAAAGUAGUAAAAUUAUUAGUCAAUUCUGCUUUGCCAGUACCAAUUAAUACUGUGCGGUCAGCAUCCAAUUCUAGAAACAAUUUAUCAGAUAAUACAGAUAAUUGUUUUAAAUAUAAUAAUACUAUGACAAUUGAUGAAUUUCCAAACGUUGAUUUAAAACUCAAACAAAAACUGAAGAACAUUUCAGCUAAAAAUUCGGUAUCCAUCACUUUGGAACCUAAAGUAAUAGAACCAUCAGUAGAUUUAUUUUCAAAAACUUCUGCCGCUAUAAAGACUCCAGUUAUUUCAAAAUGUAUAUCAUUAGCCAGAAUACCAGAUACA